GUGGGGAAUCUUCCGCAAUGGACGAAAGUCUGACGGAGCAACGCCGCGUGAGUGAUGAAGGUUUUCGGACUGUAAAGCUCUGUUGUUUGGGACGAAAGUGCCUGUUGCGAACAGUUACGGGUAUUGACGGUACUAAACGAGGAAGCCACGGCUAACUACGUGCCAGCAGCCGCGGUAAUACGUAGGUGGCAAGCGUUGUCCGGAAUUAUUGGGCGUAAAGAGCAUGUAGGCGGGAAUCUAAGUCUGUUGUUAAAUGCGGGGCUCAACCCCGUAUUGCGAUGGAAACUGGGUUUCUUGAGUGCAGGAGAGGAAAGGGAAUUCCCAGUGUAGCGGUGAAAUGCGUAGAUAUUGGGAGGAACACCAGUGGCGAAGGCGCCUUUCUGGACUGUGUCUGACGCUGAGAUGCGAAAGCCAGGGUAGCGAACGGGAUUAGAUACCCUUGUAGUCC
RNAcentral lists this ribosomal RNA (448 nucleotides) under uncultured bacterium. Its description in RNAcentral is "partial 16S ribosomal RNA". It matches the Rfam family "Bacterial small subunit ribosomal RNA", at positions 354 to 796 of the family's 1533-position model. The record is from RNAcentral.